UGAUACUGUGGCACCCAGCUCAACAUUCUGCAAGGUCUACACACUGACUCCCUUCCUGGCAAACAACAGAGAGAAGCGGGGGCUUGCCCUCGACGGGAAGCUCAAGCAUGAAGACACAAAUCUGGCUUCCAGCACUCUGUAAGAACUCACCUCUAAGUCCCGGACCCUAGUGCCCACUCCACCACGGGCCCCACCCUCUUGGCCCACCACUCCGAGGAUGAGGUUUAGGCUUGUUUCCAAGUCUUGACUAGGGCCAGCCCCCUGAAGUGUGGCUAGCCCGGGAGGCUCUUUCCCUACUCCCCCUGGGUCCCAACAUUUGGGGGAUACAACUGGACAAGCUUUCUGCAGGAAUUGGGUGCUCUUGACCCAAAGUCCUGAAUACAGAUUGGGUGUGUCCCUGUU
Molecule: long non-coding RNA, 402 nt
Filed under: Rattus norvegicus (Norway rat)
Lineage: Eukaryota; Metazoa; Chordata; Mammalia; Rodentia; Muridae
Description: long non-coding RNA NONRATT000991
Source: RNAcentral